GGAAGUUUUGCGCACCUGCGCUGCGAUUUCUUCUUCCUCUCUCAGCAGAUCUUUAUACGACCGCCUCUUCUCCCUCUGACUGCGACCCGCAACAAGACCAAUGUCUCCUUCCAUCCCCGACAUAUCUGCCAUCAUCACUCCUGGAUCUUCGGGUGAGAACGGUUACUCUGGAAAUUCUAGUGUAAAGGGAAAGAUUCGGGCCACGGAUAAAUAUUUCCCAUUUGCUUUCUUUCCCGUCCUUCGUUUUCCUCCACGGACAAUGGCAAUCUCAUCCAGUCUUCCCUCCACUAGGCCAUCCAGAGAUUU
Molecule: non-coding RNA, 306 nt
Organism: Paramisgurnus dabryanus
Lineage: Eukaryota; Metazoa; Chordata; Actinopteri; Cypriniformes; Cobitidae
Source: RefSeq, a predicted model, not a curated record